UACGUAGGUGGCAAGCGUUGUCCGGAUUUACUGGGCGUAAAGAGCGCGCAGGCGGUCGUUCAAGUCGCGUGUGAAAGCCCCCGGCUCAACUGGGGAGGGUCACGCGAUACUGAUCGACUCGAAGGCAGGAGAGGGAAGUGGAAUUCCCGGUGUAGUGGUGAAAUGCGUAGAUAUCGGAAGGAACACCAGUGGCGAAAGCGGCUUCCUGGUCCAGCACCGACGUCAGCACGAAAGCGUGGGGAGCAAACA
RNAcentral lists this ribosomal RNA (249 nucleotides) under uncultured bacterium. RNAcentral describes it as "partial 16S ribosomal RNA". It matches the Rfam family "Bacterial small subunit ribosomal RNA", at positions 524 to 774 of the family's 1533-position model. The record is from RNAcentral.